GGUCAGCGAGCAGCAGCGAGAACCUCCUGUGUGCCACCGAGCUGGGCUUCCACCUCUUCUGGGUGAUAGGUGCCCUAAAAAUCUCAGUCUUUGCAUCUCCUAGCUCUCGUCUCAGCAUGCCCAUAAGGUGACAAUGCACCCUCAGAGCCCUGGGUCCUCCAAACUCACUUUUCUUCCCUCUGUAUCCCAUGACACACGCACACAGCCGAUUACAUGGAAGCAGCAAGCCGGAAUUUUCACAAAUAUCUCAACUCAGGCCAUAUAAACGGAGUUUAUCUCAUAUCAGUCUCAGUUCUGAGCAUACGGACAGCUCAGCUUUAUGCACACCUGCAGCAUUAUUUGCUCUACGUCAGGGCAGCAAUCCUGAUCUAUCAGUGUGUCACUGCCGAUCUGAUGCAUGUGAAAGCAGCACGAAGCCCUGAACCCGUUCUGCCUGCUCUGCUGCUGCACCAAGGGCUGCUAAAUGCCCAUUUAGAGGUGGCUCACGUCUGGUGGGUCAGUGUCCUGGACUUCCUUGCAGAAGGGAAGGAAGCCCGUGUGCACUCCAGCACUGCAUUUCCUGAGCUGUGGGUUUAUCUUUUGCAAAGCAGAAGGGAGAUCUUCUUUGUCAGUACCUACUCCUGAUGGUGGUUGUGUAGCCAUUGCACAGCAGAAACUCUUCAGCACAAGCAAUGAACCACCCAGAUCUACCAGGGUACACGCAGCAGAAGGAAUGAAAUUGAAAAAAGGACAAAAGGAUCAGGAAACAUAAUAAAAAACAAACAAAAAAAACGAGGAUUUGGGUG
Molecule: long non-coding RNA, 785 nt
Filed under: Chrysolophus pictus (golden pheasant)
Lineage: Eukaryota; Metazoa; Chordata; Aves; Galliformes; Phasianidae
Description: lncRNA (ENSCPIG00010003167.1)
Source: RNAcentral